Molecule: ribosomal RNA, 325 nt
Filed under: uncultured eukaryote
Lineage: Eukaryota
Description: partial 18S ribosomal RNA
Rfam family: Eukaryotic small subunit ribosomal RNA
Source: RNAcentral
CCCUUAGAUGUUCUGGGCCGCACGCGCGCUACACUGAUGCAUUCAACGAGCCUAUCCUUGACCGACAGGUCCGGGUAAUCUUUGAAUCUGCAUCGUGACGGGGAUAGAUUAUUGCAAUUAUUAAUCUUCAACGAGGAAUGCCUAGUAGGCGCAAGUCAUCAGCUUGCGUCGAUUACGUCCCUGCCCUUUGUACACACCGCCCGUCGCUCCUACCGAUUGGGUGUGCUGGUGAAAUGUUCGGAUCGGCCGUUUGUCGCGGUUUCCGCGUCAUUUGGCUGAGAAGUUCAUUAAACCCUCCCACCUAGAGGAAGGAGAAGUCGUAACA